GGUUCCGUGGGGUAGGGGUUAACAUGCCUGCCUGUCACGCAGGAGAUCGCGGGUUCAAAUCCCGUCGGGACCG
This 73-nucleotide transfer RNA is filed under the name Listeria welshimeri. Its description in RNAcentral is "tRNA-Asp". It matches the Rfam family "tRNA". Rfam says of the family: Transfer RNA (tRNA) molecules are approximately 80 nucleotides in length. Their secondary structure includes four short double-helical elements and three loops (D, anti-codon, and T loops). The record is from RNAcentral. Lineage: Bacteria; Bacillati; Bacillota; Bacilli; Caryophanales; Listeriaceae.